Molecule: unclassified non-coding RNA, 244 nt
Filed under: Hevea brasiliensis (rubber tree)
Lineage: Eukaryota; Viridiplantae; Streptophyta; Magnoliopsida; Malpighiales; Euphorbiaceae
Source: RNAcentral
GUGCCAAUAGCCGUAACAACUUUAGGAUCCCUGAUGCGCCUCAAAAGAGAGGAGAAGGACUGGUUGGAUGUGCAAAAGCAUGAACUUUUUGACAUGAAUGAAUGCCAAAGCCAAAUUCUGCCUGCUUUAAGAUUGAGUUACAGCCAUUUGCCAGCACAUCUUAAACGUUGCUUUGCAUACUGUUCACUGUUUCCAAAAAACUAUGAAAUCCAUAAGGAAAAAUUAAUCCUUUUAUGGAUGGCAG